RNAcentral lists this transfer RNA (76 nucleotides) under Pseudobdellovibrionaceae bacterium. Its description in RNAcentral is "Bdellovibrionaceae bacterium tRNA-Phe". It matches the Rfam family "tRNA". Rfam says of the family: Transfer RNA (tRNA) molecules are approximately 80 nucleotides in length. Their secondary structure includes four short double-helical elements and three loops (D, anti-codon, and T loops). RNAcentral also lists the same sequence under 1 other name. The record is from RNAcentral. Lineage: Bacteria; Pseudomonadati; Bdellovibrionota; Bdellovibrionia; Bdellovibrionales; Pseudobdellovibrionaceae.
GGCUCGGUAGCUCAGUCGGUAGAGCAGAAGACUGAAAAUCUUUGUGUCGGCGGUUCAAUUCCGUCCCGAGCCACCA